GAUGAACGCUGGCGGCGUGCCUAAUACAUGCAAGUCGAGCGAACAGACGAGAGUGCUUGCACUCUCUGACGUUAGCGGCGGACGGGUGAGUAACACGUGGGUAACCUACCUAUAAGACUGGGAUAACUUCGGGAAACCGGAGCUAAUACCGGAUAAUAUUUAGCUUCGCAUGAAGCAAUAGUGAAAGACGGUUCUGCUGUCACUUAUAGAUGGACCCGCGGUGUAUUAGCUGGUUGGUGAGGUAACGGCUCACCAAGGCAACGAUACAUAGCCGACCUGAGAGGGUGAUCGGCCACACUGGGACUGAGACACGGCCCAGACUCCUACGGGAGGCAGCAGUAGGGAAUCUUCCGCAAUGGACGAAAGUCUGACGGAGCAAUACCGCGUGAGUGAAGAAGGUUUUCGGAUCGUAAAACUCUGUUGUAAGGGAAGAACAAGUACGUUAGUAACUGAACGUACCUUGACGGUACCUUACCAGAAAGCCACGGCUAACUACGUG
This 499-nucleotide ribosomal RNA is filed under the name uncultured bacterium. RNAcentral describes it as "partial 16S ribosomal RNA". It matches the Rfam family "Bacterial small subunit ribosomal RNA", at positions 28 to 507 of the family's 1533-position model. The record is from RNAcentral.